This 162-nucleotide ribosomal RNA is filed under the name ascomycete sp. MA 4643. RNAcentral's name for it is "5.8S ribosomal RNA". The stretch from base 22 to 162 matches the Rfam family "5.8S ribosomal RNA". Rfam says of the family: 5.8S ribosomal RNA (5.8S rRNA) is a component of the large subunit of the eukaryotic ribosome. Lineage: Eukaryota; Fungi; Ascomycota. The record is from RNAcentral.
CUUGAUAAAUAAUAAACCUAAAACUUUCAACAACGGAUCUCUUGGUUCUGGCAUCGAUGAAGAACGCAGCGAAAUGCGAUAAGUAAUGCGAAUUGCAGAAUUCCGUGAGUCAUCGAAUCUUUGAACGCACAUUGCGCCCUUUGGUAUUCCAAAGGGCAUGCC